AUCUGAACUGCAGAUUGACUGUGAUUUAACAUUCAGUCUAGAGGUAACAUUUGAUAAAUUGCGUCAAUCUGAGAAGGUGUUGCGCGACAUCAUCUUAAUGUGUUCAUGAAAGCAAGUAAUCCCGGGAUCCUACAGGGCUGGCUUCUUACAAUCCCAAAAUUCCGAAGAAUUGAAAUCAGUGCCGAUGAGACAAGUGUUCCUCUUUCCUAGUUAUUUUAUGAAGCAGUGGUUUGGACUGCAUGGCAUCAGAAUUUAUCAAACACAUAAUUUUGUGCGAACAUUCACCAUCAGAUGAAUUCACUCGCAGAUUGUAGAAAGCAUUUCAAUUAAGAUUAAGAAAUGAAGUGAAGAAGUAAGGAAAGCAUGAAAUUAUAUUGUGUAGAAGAAAAUGUGGUAUACAACAGGAUCAA
Long non-coding RNA from Uloborus diversus, 410 nucleotides. RefSeq lists it as uncharacterized. The transcript is spliced from 3 exons. NCBI's taxonomy places the organism in Eukaryota, Metazoa, Arthropoda, Arachnida, Araneae, Uloboridae. The record is from RefSeq and is a predicted model, not a curated record.